RNAcentral lists this ribosomal RNA (255 nucleotides) under uncultured bacterium. Its description in RNAcentral is "partial 16S ribosomal RNA". It matches the Rfam family "Bacterial small subunit ribosomal RNA", at positions 524 to 776 of the family's 1533-position model. The record is from RNAcentral.
UACGUAGGGUGCAAGCGUUAAUCGGAAUUACUGGGCGUAAAGCGUGCGCAGGCGGUUAUGUAAGACAGGUGUGAAAUCCCCGGGCUUAACCUGGGAACUGCAUUUGUGACUGCAUAGCUAGAGUACGGUAGAGGGGGAUGGAAUUCCGGCGUGUAGCAGUGAAAUGCGUAGAUAUGCGGAGGAACACCGAUGGCGAAGGCAAUCCCCUGGACCUGUACUGACGCUCAUGCACGAAAGCGUGGGGGAGCAAACAGG